This 472-nucleotide unclassified non-coding RNA is filed under the name uncultured Entrophospora. RNAcentral's name for it is "SSU rRNA". It matches the Rfam family "Eukaryotic small subunit ribosomal RNA", at positions 569 to 1046 of the family's 1831-position model. Lineage: Eukaryota; Fungi; Glomeromycota; Glomeromycetes; Entrophosporales; Entrophosporaceae. The record is from RNAcentral.
AGCAGCCGCGGUAAUUCCAGCUCCAAUAGCGUAUAUUAAAGUUGUUGCAGUUAAAAGACUCGUAGUUGAAUUUCGGGAUCAAUUAGUCGGUCGUGCCUCUGGUACGUACUGGUUUUAUUGGUUCCUCCCUUCUGACGAAACAUGAUGUCAUUAAUUUGGUGUCGUGGAGAAUCAGGACUGUUACCUUGAAAAAAUUAGAGUGUUUAUAGCAGGCUAACGCUUGAAUACAUUAGCAUGGAAUAAUGAAAUAGGACGUUCGACCCUAUUUUGUUGGUUUCUAGGAUCGACGUAAUGAUUAAUAGGGAUAGUUGGGGGCAUUAGUAUUCAAUUGUCAGAGGUGAAAUUCUUGGAUUUAUUGAAGACUAACUACUGCGAAAGCAUUUGCCAAGGAUGUUUUCAUUAAUCAAGAACGAAAGUUAGGGAUCGAAGACGAUCAGAUACCGUCGUAGUCUUAACCAUAAACUAUGCCGAC